This 497-nucleotide ribosomal RNA is filed under the name uncultured bacterium. Its description in RNAcentral is "partial 16S ribosomal RNA". It matches the Rfam family "Bacterial small subunit ribosomal RNA", at positions 28 to 507 of the family's 1533-position model. The record is from RNAcentral.
GACGAACGCUGGCGGCGUGCCUAAUACAUGCAAGUAGAACGCUGAAGAGAGGAGCUUGCUCUUCUUGGCUGAGUUGCGAACGGGUGAGUAACGCGUAGGUAACCUGCCUGGUAGCGGGGGAUAACUAUUGGAAACGAUAGCUAAUACCGCAUAAAAUUGAUUAUUGCAUGAUAAUUAAUUGAAAGAUGCAACUGCAUCACUACCAGAUGGACCUGCGUUGUAUUAGCUAGUUGGUGAGGUAACGGCUCACCAAGGCGACGAUACAUAGCCGACCUGAGAGGGUGAUAGGCCACACUGGGACUGAGACACGGCCCAGACUCCUACGGGAGGCAGCAGUAGGGAAUCUUCGGCAAUGGGGGGAACCCUGACCGAGCAACGCCGCGUGAGUGAAGAAGGGUUUCGGAUCGUAAAGCUCGGUUGUAAGAGAAGAACGGGUGUGAGAGUGGAAAGUUCACACUGUGACGGUAUCUUACCAGAAAGGGACGGCUAACUACGUG